GUGAGGAAUUUUGCGCAAUGGGGGCAACCCUGACGCAGCGACGCCGCGUGGAGGACGAAGUCUUUCGGGAUGUAAACUCCUGUCAGUGGGGACGAUAAUGACGGUACCCACAGAGGAAGCACCGGCUAACUCCGUGCCAGCAGCCGCGGUAAGACGGAGGGUGCAAGCGUUGUUCGGAAUUACUGGGCGUAAAGCGUAUGUAGGCGGCAAGUUAAGUUCAAUGUUAAAGCCCACGGCUCAACCGAGGAGAUGCAUUGAAUACUGGCUAGCUAGAGGGUGUUAGAGGAAGACGGAAUUCCCAGUGUAGCGGUGAAAUGCGUAGAUAUUGGGAGGAACAUCGGUAGCGAAAGCGGUCUUCUGGGACAUACCUGACGCUGAGGUACGAAAGCGUGGGGAGCAAACAGGAUUAGAUACCCGUGUAGUCC
RNAcentral lists this ribosomal RNA (425 nucleotides) under uncultured bacterium. RNAcentral describes it as "partial 16S ribosomal RNA". It matches the Rfam family "Bacterial small subunit ribosomal RNA", at positions 354 to 796 of the family's 1533-position model. The record is from RNAcentral.